GGAUAUCGUCGACCAAGAAU
RNAcentral lists this small nuclear RNA (20 nucleotides) under Arabidopsis thaliana (thale cress). RNAcentral describes it as "snRNA_01831". Lineage: Eukaryota; Viridiplantae; Streptophyta; Magnoliopsida; Brassicales; Brassicaceae. The record is from RNAcentral.